GACGAACGCUGGCGGCGUGCCUAAUACAUGCAAGUAGAACGCUGAAGGAGGAGCUUGCUCUUCUGGAUGAGUUGCGAACGGGUGAGUAACGCGUAGGUAACCUGCCUGGUAGCGGGGGAUAACUAUUGGAAACGAUAGCUAAUACCGCAUAACAGUAGAUGUUGCAUGACAUUUACUUAAAAGGUGCAAUUGCAUCACUACCAGUUGGACCUGCGUUGUAUUAGCUAGUUGGUGGGGUAACGGCUCACCAAGGCGACGAUACAUAGCCGACCUGAGAGGGUGAUCGGCCACACUGAGACUGAGACACGGCCCAGACUCCUACGGGAGGCAGCAGUAGGGAAUCUUCGGCAAUGGACGGAAGUCUGACCGAGCAACGCCGCGUGAGUGAAGAAGGUUUUCGGAUCGUAAAGCUCUGUUGUAAGAGAAGAACGAGUGUGAGAGUGGAAAGUUCACACUGUGACGGUAUCUUACCAGAAAGGGACGGCUAACUACGUG
RNAcentral lists this ribosomal RNA (495 nucleotides) under uncultured bacterium. Its description in RNAcentral is "partial 16S ribosomal RNA". It matches the Rfam family "Bacterial small subunit ribosomal RNA", at positions 28 to 507 of the family's 1533-position model. The record is from RNAcentral.